This 407-nucleotide long non-coding RNA is filed under the name Brassica napus (rape). RNAcentral's name for it is "long non-coding RNA (BNAP_LNC013869)". The record is from RNAcentral. Lineage: Eukaryota; Viridiplantae; Streptophyta; Magnoliopsida; Brassicales; Brassicaceae.
GGGCCCAAAGAUUUCGUUUAUUGAAAUGUAAGCAAAAUGCCGAACAAAGAUAAUAAAUAAAGAACUCGUCGUCUAAGAGACAAACUCGUCGCUGAAUAGUUUCUCUUUAUAUUCUCUCUCUAGUUUCUCCCGGUACUUUUGUGUGUCUUUCUUCAUUGAAUGCUCUUCUAUUUAUAUUCUCCUCGAUCCGCGUUUGGUGCUUUGUGGUUGUUGUGUGUCAGAGAGUCGGUUCGGCGAUCAUCAUUAGCCAUGUUCGUUUUAUAAACUCUGCGACAAGCGUCUGCGUCAAAAAAAUACAGUUAGGGCAGAAGCAAAUUCUUUGGUGUUCUAACUAAAAGCAGCCGCAACUGACAAUUGGAGGCAUGGAAACGGAGUUGCUGCUGCCGCUGCAAUUUUCAGCGUCGUAU